This is a long non-coding RNA of Prosopis cineraria, 2641 nucleotides long. RefSeq lists it as uncharacterized. Lineage: Eukaryota; Viridiplantae; Streptophyta; Magnoliopsida; Fabales; Fabaceae. The transcript is spliced from 2 exons. The record is from RefSeq and is a predicted model, not a curated record.
UCAAUCAAUUAUCCAACGUUCUUAUGAAUAAAAUAUUCUAUCUGUUCCUUCAAUUACGCUUGAUCAUUGGACAUAACUUCAUUUAUUAGCAAUUCUCCCGUUUCCAAUAAUCAAUGUUUGACGGUUUGGUCGGGGUCAAUUAAGUUUUGCGCUUCGAAAACCCUUGCAGCGAUGGGGCUGCAAUACUGGCGUCGGAGCGGAGCCUCUUUCCCUGAUUUGGUUCCAUCUGUGUUUUUGGUGCUUUCUAGGGUUUCUUCUCAUGAGUUUUCUCCAUCGUAACAGUCAUCCGUCCAAAGAUAAAUUGGUAACCACACCAGUUAUGGCUUCGCUUGUAUUUCAAGAUUAAAAAGCAAAAAAAAGUACCUUUUGAAAUGUAAAAAUAGGUUAUUUAAUCCACCAUGAUGUAAAUUUUUGUUAGGGUAGGUUCACAGUCUGCGAAGGAAAACUAGUAAGUUGUAUUUUCUGCUUUAUUUGUUCGUUUUUUUUUCCUGCUUCCUUUCUUUUAGUUCUUAGUUAUAAUUGGUGAUUCUAGUUAGUCUCCUAUUACUCUAGAUAUUGGUAAAACCUUGCUGCAGCUGUUUUUUAUCUAGCUAUAACCAAUGCAUUGUCUUAGCUCAUGUAUUGGUAAAGUUAAACAUAUAAUGAUCCUGUCUGGCUUUUCAUUGUGUUUUCCAUUAAUAUGUGGGAUAUCUGUUACUGAUAAACUUGACUGGUAUAAUGAUGUGUUAUAAACUUACAUCAAAAGACCAAAUUUAAAUCGUCAUUUCAGUUGCCGGGUUACAAAAUCAGUUUUGUAGCAUUUGUAAGGCUAAAUUGGUGGAUGAAGUUAUCUGAUUGACUUGCAAUUUGUUGUGUCCUAUCCAGCAACUAGUGGAAUUUGUUGAGUUAGAUUGUCUAAUUUUCUAUUUCCCAAUAUAUUCGAAAGCUUUGCCAUCCUGCAUUCGUUUAAAUAUGGAGGCCUUUUCUAUGGGUCAUAACUCAUAUCAUGUGUCCUAUAAUUGUCUAUCCUUUUGUGGAAUAAAAGGGGCGCUGAUUUUCUCAGAGCUAACUUUUUUGUGAUUCUUGAAGUAGAAGCUAAUAUUCCCUCCAUUAGGUUUUAUAAGGUGUUUUUUGUAUUAAUUACAUUUUUCAUGAUACAAGAUGUUUUGCAAAAACGAUGAUACAUCAAUAAAUGUUAUCCCAAAAUACCCUUCCUAAUUUGAUGGAUAGGAAAUAUGAGUUAGGGGCUAAUAUUAAACGAAGAGUACUUUUGAAGUUUACGCUUCUUUUUGAAAUAAAUUAAGAUUCCUAAGUCCAUUUAACUGUCUUCAUUGGUCCUUGCAAAUUUUGAAGAAACAGCUUAUAAAAUGUAAUGGAGGCAGUACUAAAUUACAACAUACUGACCUUGUCCCUCUUCUGUUCUGACUUUGUUACCCUUACACUUUAUGCAUUAAUACCUUUGAAGGAAGUACGGAGAUGGCUUGAUUCUUAUAUCACCCUGCUCCCUCAAUUUAUUUAGGAUCUACGGGAUUUGGAUAGAUAUAUCCUAUUUUUAUGAUUUUAUUUGAAAUUCUAACGCCAAUCUGGCAUCACAACUUAUGAAAUCAUCUAUUUUUGUUAGUGCAACUAUGGGCAUAUGAUGGCUUUACACUUGAUCUCUGAACUUCAGGAUCUAGGAAAACAGCUGUGUUGAAAAUCUUGAAGCCAGAAAUGUUCUUCAAUGAAUUACAUACUCAAGGCAGUACCGGCUUCCAGAUGGCUGUAUAGAAAAAAGAUGCCAAAAGUAUUUUGUAAUCCCUGAAAAUUUCGUUAAUACUUCUGUCUGUUCUUGUGCUCUUUCUUCAUGGUGACGUCUGACUUUUCUCAUUUUCUGUAUAUUGAAUUGUGACUUUUCUGGCCACUUGAUAUUGGAUGAUAGCUUAGUCGACUGGCAAGGAUGGGAUGAGUGUGUCCUGGUUGAUUUUGUUUGCUAUUUCAGUUCUAAGCCCUUCUUGUCUUCGGCUGCCAUUAUUUUUGACUCUCUGUUUGGAACUUGUCGAAGGAUAAACUAUGGAUUCUUCGAAUGGACUAGCCGUGAAAAAAAACCAUCGACUGUUUUCUUUUUCUCACAGGUUAAAAAAAAAGGUAGUAUUUAUCAUACUUGUGAGCAAGGGUCAUUCACAAUUUAACAUGUUUCUGGGAAUGCAUUCCACCAUCGUGCGUGUGAGGUAACCAUGAGAUCAGAAAAGAAUUGUACAAUGCCAGAGACAUUUCAAGGUGGAGAUGCUCUCGAUAAAAUUAUAUCAAUCACAGUUGGUUAUAACAUUGCAGAUUGCAAACCUAAACAUACGAUGCAUCAUGUUAUGGUUGAUAACCUAAACAUGUGCAUACUUUUGCCAUUGUGCUGUUUGUUAAUCACUGGCUCUGCUUUAUGUUGGACCCUUCAAUCACGUGUUAUGUAUACCCUUGACUCAUUGCUUCUGAAAGAGAACUUAGGAAAGCAUUUGUUGGCUAUGUUCAUGGUUAACGCCUCAUGUAUUGUUGAUAACGCUAGGUGUUGAAUGGCUCAUGUAUUGCUUAUAAUACUGUGUUUAUGGAUGUCUUUUUUUAUUUUUUAUUUUUUUUGGGAACCUGGUUUAUGGAUGAUGUAUUUGUACAAUAUGGUUGGUGGAUUGCUUCAAAA